Molecule: long non-coding RNA, 755 nt
Organism: Priapulus caudatus
Lineage: Eukaryota; Metazoa; Priapulida; Priapulimorpha; Priapulimorphida; Priapulidae
Exons: 2
Source: RefSeq, a predicted model, not a curated record
AUGGGAAGACAGAAGUCGGAAACACUCGGAUAAGAUGUCAACGUAUUGUACGAGGGUGAAGAGUUGGAGAAAGACAAACACUACUAUGAAGGGAAAAGAAUUGUGGAACUUCCAAAGAAACGUCCAAGCUGGUGGCACAAUAAUCUCUUAAUUAAGUCACACACAUCAUCUUAGAUUUCUAGGUGUCGCGUCGCAGAUAGCAUGUGACAUCUAAGAUGAGAUGUCUUGCGCAGAAUGCUCAUCCAAUCCAUUGUGUUCCAUGAGCAUUUAUUAGUGUUGAAUCUUUGAUGCUAAGACCAUCUGCAGUGGCCUAGUUAAUGUGAUAGUUGGAAUUUAAACUGAGUAGUACGACUGAGCAGUAAUUCCGUUGUUGGGAAUUGCUUGUAAUACAUGAGUGAAGUAGGAAUGUUCUUGUUAUUUGUAACUAUGAAAACUAGAAAUGAUACUGACAGUCCGAAUGAAAAACUCCAAUUCAUGGCAUCAUGCAUAUAUGGUUCUUUGUGGCAUGUUGUAAUAAAUAUACCUCUAGUGGGUGUCUAUUACUGUUCGAAAACAACUAAAUAUAUCUAGUUUUCUAUAUAUCUAGUUGUGUCUAUACUAAUAUUUUGUAUUAUAUACUGCAUAAUUAAAAUUUGUGCAAUUUAAUAACAGCAAAAAUUGUGGGACAGUUGCAACACUUGCUGUUGAGAAAAUGUGGCAUCUGAGAAAUAUCUCAUUAAUUGAAACAUUAAACUCCAAUCUAAAAAGAGGAACUA